This is a non-coding RNA of Pelobates cultripes (western spadefoot toad), 233 nucleotides long. NCBI's taxonomy places the organism in Eukaryota, Metazoa, Chordata, Amphibia, Anura, Pelobatidae. The record is from the annotation of a GenBank genome assembly.
CCUGACUUGUGCCGUUAGUUUGUCCGUAAGGUAAUUAUCCCAGAGUUUCAUAAGUACCAAGGACAUCGGGGGUAGCUCUGUAUGUGUCCAGUUUUGUGCUACUGCCAAACAUGCAGCCAAGUUUAUCAUAUUUGAGCAAUUUUUGGUCAUAUUUGUUUAGUCCGUCUCAGGUUUUGGAUAACAGGCAGACCCAUGGGUUCGGUGUAAGUCGCCUUUGCAAUAUUUGUGAGGUU